GUCGCACGAGAAAGGGCUUCGGCCCCGGUACAGUGGCGCACGGGUGAGUAACACGUAGAUCAUCUCCCCUCGAGUGGUGGAUAACUCUCCGAAAGGAGAGCUAAUACAGCAUAAGACCACGGCUUCGCUGAAGCUGCGGCCAAAGCAGGCCUCUACACGUAAGCUUGCGCUUGAGGAGGAGUCUGCGGCCCAUCAGCUAGUUGGUAAGGUAAUGGCUUACCAAGGCAAAGACGGGUAGCUGGUCUGAGAGGAUGAUCAGCCACACUGGUACUGGAACACGGACCAGACUCCUACGGGAGGCAGCAGUGGGGAAUCUUG
Molecule: ribosomal RNA, 318 nt
Filed under: uncultured soil bacterium
Lineage: Bacteria
Description: bacterial SSU rRNA
Rfam family: Bacterial small subunit ribosomal RNA
Source: RNAcentral